Long non-coding RNA from Athene cunicularia (burrowing owl), 886 nucleotides. RefSeq lists it as uncharacterized. The record is from RefSeq and is a predicted model, not a curated record. Lineage: Eukaryota; Metazoa; Chordata; Aves; Strigiformes; Strigidae. The transcript is spliced from 2 exons.
CUUCCUCUCGAGGUAUUAAGAAUGUUUACUCCGUAGAGCAAAAGAAAAAGAAACAGGAAGAAAUAGAAAAAAGAAUUGCAGCUUCAGGUUCUGGAGGAGAAGGAGGACUGAGAUGGCAGGUUGGAUAAAGAAGUAUGAGUUCUGAAGAGAAGAUGGAUGUUUACUGCCAAUAACUUGCCGGUUGCUGCAGCUGAGUGGCACUUACUCAUCAUGUGGCUUUUGCUGUUUGCAUCUGAAGACUCAGCAGUACUUUGCCAUUGUGGGAGAACCGAUGUGGAAACAUACACUAAGAAACUUAGGAACUAACUGAACACUAAAGUUUUGGCCAAAUUGUUUGUUUUAUGUGCAUGUUUUAUUGCUUCCCUGUCAAGGGAGAGAGAGAUGGGUUUUCUCCCAUGGAAGUGGUCUCCAUACUUGUAGUCAGUCUGUAUGUGUGUGCUGUCUGGUCAGUUGAUGUCUGUCUGUCUGUGUAUGACUGGCUUAGGCACAGCUCAGGUGCCCAUGUGUUGUUUUUGACGCUUAUUUCAAGCUCUACAAUUAAACUUUUCUCUUAAGUCCUCACUUAACUGUUCAUAAAUAGAUAUAUUUGAAUAUGUGGGUGACAGCAUUUCUCUUCAGUUUCAGUUUCCAGACUUUUGAACUGCUUAGGGAUUUAGUGCCUUUUUUCAAAAAAGAAAGUGGGUUGUUAAAAUUGGAAGCAUUUUGUGAUGCUAGUUAAAAAUAAUUAGAAACCUUUAUAAACCCUGUAUCCUUAUAGCAGGAAAGCUCUUUUAUUACUAGUCUAAUAAUUGUUCUCCUCGUUUUCUGUUGUGGAUUUCUUUUGAGUCUGUAAGUAUUUAUAAAGAAUACUGGAAGUUAAACAUUAUAUUAAAAAUACUGUUAUUAA